ANAUAAGUUUAUAUCUUGAAACUGCGAACGGCUCAUUAAAUCAGUUAUAAUCUACUUGAUUGUAAAAUCUACAUGGAUAACUGUAGUAAUUCUAGAGCUAAUACAUGCAAAAAAUCCUGACUGUUAUAGAAAGGAUGUAUUUAUUAGGUACAAAAUCAAUGCUGGCACUUGUGUCAGGUUUAUUGAUGAUUCAUAAUAACUAAACGAAGCGCACGACCUUGCGUUGGCGCUGAUACAAACGAGUUUCUGCCCUAUCAACUUUCGAUGGUAGUAUAGAGGACUACCAUGGUUUCAACGGGUAACGGGGAANUANCNCGGCGCCGGCGNGGGGGGNGGNGGUNUUNGACUUGCNUUGUGGGAANGGUUGGGGUGGNANAUUAAUCUUAAANUGGUUUUUNCGUGUUG
This 405-nucleotide ribosomal RNA is filed under the name uncultured fungus. Its description in RNAcentral is "partial 18S ribosomal RNA". It matches the Rfam family "Eukaryotic small subunit ribosomal RNA", at positions 65 to 375 of the family's 1831-position model. The record is from RNAcentral. Lineage: Eukaryota; Fungi.